CCUGCCACCCAGCAGGGUUUCGAUAAUUUUUUUUCCCUUACACUAUCUGGGGGGGGGGGGGGGGACGGGGGAGGCGAUAAGUGGGUGACUUUAUGUUCUAGGCCUGUGGCCCCCGGGACGGGCUAAAAGGAAAGACUGGGGGAUCCUGCCUGCCUGAGUGCUGCCUGUUUGGGACUGAACUUUCCAGUGAUCAGAUGGAGCGAGUAGGUCCACUUCUGAAAGCUCUCAGGGUUAUUCAAAGGAUUAGGGGGGAAAUGGCGUCAAGGCCCAUUGCAGACUUGAUGAAACCAUCGGACAGUGGCAAAUGGUAUUGUUAGUAGACCGUGUGUCCCUGGUGGUUGUGGGCAAAGCGCUGGAAUUAGAUCCCGGAUUUGGACCCCAGCUUCCUGAUAUGCUGGCUGGGAGACUUUGGGCAAAUCUCAAGCCUGAAAAGGACCGCUGGUGCUGAGUUGCAAGCGGCCGGGUGCAAGGACAAGAGAGAGGCACGGAGGAACUAAGGGUGGCCCCCAGCUGGCAGCCAGCAGGGAAGCAGGGACCUCAGUCCUACAACAGGAAAGAACUGUAUUCUGCCCACACCGUGAAUGAGCUUGGAAGUAGUUCCUUCCUAGGGCCUCCUGUUUCACCAGGACAACCAGACCUACCUGAUGAGACUUCUUCGAUGCACUGGGCCAAUUUGGAAAAGAAUCAGAACGCCUUCUGUUGCGCUGAUCAAAGGAACACCAAGGAUUGCCAACAGUCACCAGAAGCCCGAUGGGACAAGGAAAGAUUCUCUCCUUGAGACUUCAGAGGGAGCAUGGCCCUGCCGACACCUUCGUUUCUGAUUUCUAUCCUCUUGAACUUUUCAGGUGUACAAAAUAGUGAUUCAACAAUUGUGUACAUUACUCAGGUGGCCAUCACGCUUUACCCCAGUAUGGAAACCGCAGCCCUUGAUCAGCUGAGUGCCGCUAGGAACCACCGCCAAGAGGCUGCAGGAAAGCCCAGGGCUUGGGGGAGUCUAGUCGCAGCUGGCGGUAAAGAAAUGUCUUCCAAGGGGCAAAGAAUAAUAUGGGGGUCACGUCAGCUGAUGAAACAGCUGGAUGCAGAAGUCUCUGCGGGACCUAGUGGUCUUCCCAGCCUGAUUCUUACCAAGUGUGAGACCAGCGGAUUGUGAAGUUUGCAUACUUUGCCUCCAUUUCUU
This is a long non-coding RNA of Leopardus geoffroyi (Geoffroy's cat), 1177 nucleotides long. RefSeq lists it as uncharacterized. The transcript is spliced from 5 exons. Lineage: Eukaryota; Metazoa; Chordata; Mammalia; Carnivora; Felidae. The record is from RefSeq and is a predicted model, not a curated record.